Molecule: long non-coding RNA, 398 nt
Organism: Lagopus leucura (white-tailed ptarmigan)
Lineage: Eukaryota; Metazoa; Chordata; Aves; Galliformes; Phasianidae
Exons: 4
Source: RefSeq, a predicted model, not a curated record
UUUCAGACAUCUCUUGACCUGAAACAGUAAUGAGAAGAAGAAAUGAUCGGCUGAAGGGUUUCCUCUGACCCACCCCAGGAUAUUUGGCUUGGCAGUGGAGGCAAGGGUAUCUUGCUGGAGAUUUCUGCUUUCUAGAGGCCUUCCACAGACAGUCUGAACGAGAAGCUUCGAAACGAGAAUUCACGAGAAGUUUGAGUGCACUCUAUAUGGAGCUGGAGGGGAAGUUCAUUGCAUGGAAUUUCUGAAUUGGGAAACGUACUGCUCCCUCCUCUGCCUCUCACCAUCAUUCAAAUCCUGGAAAGCUGCUUGUUUGCCGGAUCAUUGCAUGUCAAAAAGUGACCCCUGGCAAGUUGUGUGAGGCAUCUGACGGACACCAGAACAGUGGCAUUUAUGGCAAA